AUGGAACAAUCAAAAAUUAUAGAUAUGAUGGAGACGUAUCAUUUAGCUGACACCGAAAGUAUAUACCUGGACAGAUGCAGGAAGAAUGUGUACCUGGGCCAUCGUCGAUUUCUCCCGACCAACCAUCAAUGUCGAAAGAAAGGAAAGUAUUUCAAAGGCGAGGCAGAUCACCGGAAGAAGCCCUCCAUGUGUACUGGUGAUCACGUACUUGAUAUGGUCUCUGAUUUACACGUAAUAUUUGUAAAGGGUCCCGGCGGACUAGCUGUUCCGAAUGACGCUGAGGGACGCGCACCCAUGUGA
Molecule: ribosomal RNA, 300 nt
Filed under: Triticum aestivum (bread wheat)
Lineage: Eukaryota; Viridiplantae; Streptophyta; Magnoliopsida; Poales; Poaceae
Description: partial small subunit ribosomal RNA
Source: RNAcentral